GUGCCCCACAGGCAAGAGGUCCCAACUAUAGAUGAAGCACGCAGGCUACAGACAGGUCUUUUAUUGAAUCAUCUAAAUAUCACAGAUACUUAGGUCUGAGGAGUCAUCCAACAUCGUGUUUCUGUAGCUGGACAACUCUUAGAACCUCCUCAGCAGCCUGCGGAACUGUUCCUUUUUAGGAGACGUAGACAGCACCCCAACAUUUUCUGAUAUCCUUGUUUUUAACUAUUGCUGCUUGCUGAAUCAGAGCAGCUGAAUUUGAACAAGACUGAAACAAGCUCAAUGUCGCUUCCUUCAAAGAUUAAUUCGACAUUCUGGGCUUGAGAUACUGAAUAAGCAACACCUGGCCUCAUCCGAACCCUGCAGAUGGAUUUUCCACCCAAGAUGUUUCAGAUUUCAACGAGAGUCCCGUUCUCCUGGAUAACGACGUUUCUGGGGAAGUGAGCACCCACAGAGGUCAUCUUGUAAUGGAACCCAGGGCAACCCCUUUGACCAUGCUCCGUACACGACUAUGAACAGUCCCAACGGCAGCCGGCUCCCUUCAGUUUCCCCACCGUUUGUCAACCCGGAGCCUCUUUUCCUUUCCAAGGAGACUGAGUUCUACAUUGAUGUGAUUGAAGUCUCUCCUCAAGGCUGUGUGCAGUGGCUCACACCUGUAAUCCCAACACUUUGGGAGGCAGAGGCAGGCGGAUCACUUGAGGCCAGGAGUUUGAGAGCAGCCUGGCCAACAUGGUGAAACCAUGUCUCUACUAAAAAUACAAAAAUUAGCCAGGCGUGGUGGCACAUGCCUGUAGUCUCAGCUACUAGGGAGGCUGAGGCAGGAAAAUUGCUUGAACCCAGGAGGCGGAGGUUGCAGUGAGCCAAGAUCGCACCACUGCACUC
RNAcentral lists this long non-coding RNA (882 nucleotides) under Homo sapiens (human). Its description in RNAcentral is "HSALNT0391970". Lineage: Eukaryota; Metazoa; Chordata; Mammalia; Primates; Hominidae. The record is from RNAcentral.